UGGCAUUCUGGCAGGAGUCCAUGCAGUACGGCAGACACACGCAGGGCCAGCAGCUGUGGAUGGAGUGGAAAGGAGAUGGAUUAGAUGUCAGUUUGCUUGCUUUCACCCCCUUUCCAGGCCACCCCACUCGUUAUCUGACUCAACUCCAGUUCCAGUUGAGAUAACAAUGUUUUCACGUAUCACCUGCAUACAGUCGCAAUACCUAGAAACCUAUUGUUUUUCCCCGGCGAUAAGGGGCCGCAAGUGGUUCAUGGGCGUAGCUUUUUCGCUCUUUAGUAGUUAACUGAGGUAUUGUAACGAGUUGGCAAUAAAACAAGUUAUAAAAUAUGUUUGCUUGGGCGAUACGCAAACAUAUCUAGAUUGUUAACACA
This is a long non-coding RNA of Drosophila yakuba, 371 nucleotides long. RefSeq lists it as uncharacterized. NCBI's taxonomy places the organism in Eukaryota, Metazoa, Arthropoda, Insecta, Diptera, Drosophilidae. The transcript has 2 exons. The record is from RefSeq and is a predicted model, not a curated record.